AACGAACGCUGGCGGCAUGCCUAACACAUGCAAGUCGAACGAGACCUUCGGGUCUAGUGGCGCACGGGUGCGUAACGCGUGGGAACCUGCCCUUAGGUUCGGAAUAACUCCCCGAAAGGGGUGCUAAUACCGGAUAAUGUCUUCGGACCAAAGAUUUAUCGCCCUUGGAUGGGCCCGCGUUGGAUUAGCUAGUUGGUAGGGUAAAAGCCUACCAAGGCGACGAUCCAUAGCUGGUCUGAGAGGAUGAUCAGCCACACUGGGACUGAGACACGGCCCAGACUCCUACGGGUGGCAGCAGGGGGGAAUAUGGAACGAUGGGCGAAAGCCUGAGCCAGCAAUGCCGCAUGAGUGAUGAAGGCCGUAGGGUUGUAAGGCUCUUUUACCCGGGAUGAUAAGGCCGUAACCGGGAGAAUAGGCUCCGCCAACCUCGUU
Molecule: ribosomal RNA, 432 nt
Filed under: uncultured bacterium
Lineage: Bacteria
Description: partial 16S ribosomal RNA
Rfam family: Bacterial small subunit ribosomal RNA
Source: RNAcentral